AACGAACGCUGGCGGCAUGCCUAACACAUGCAAGUCGAACGAGACCUUCGGGUCUAGUGGCGCACGGGUGCGUAACGCGUGGGAACCUGCCCUUAGGUUCGGAAUAACUCCCCGAAAGGGGUGCUAAUACCGGAUAAUGUCUUCGGACCAAAGAUUUAUCGCCUUUGGAUGGGCCCGCGUUGGAUUAGCUAGUUGGUAGGGUAAAAGCCUACCAAGGCGACGAUCCAUAGCUGGUCUGAGAGGAUGAUCAGCCACACUGGGACUGAGACACGGCCCAGACUCCUACGGGAGGCAGCAGUGGGGAAUAUUGGACAAGGGGCGAAAGCCUGAUCCAGCGAUGCCGCGUGAGUGAUGAAGGCCUAAGGGUUGUAAAGCGCUUUUACCCGGGAUGAUAAUGACAGCACCGGGAGAAUAAGCUCCGGCUAACUCCG
This 431-nucleotide ribosomal RNA is filed under the name uncultured bacterium. Its description in RNAcentral is "partial 16S ribosomal RNA". It matches the Rfam family "Bacterial small subunit ribosomal RNA", at positions 29 to 505 of the family's 1533-position model. The record is from RNAcentral.